This 357-nucleotide ribosomal RNA is filed under the name uncultured soil bacterium. Its description in RNAcentral is "bacterial SSU rRNA". It matches the Rfam family "Bacterial small subunit ribosomal RNA", at positions 26 to 365 of the family's 1533-position model. The record is from RNAcentral.
AGAGUGAACGCUGGCGGCAGGCCUAAUACAUGCAAGUCGAACGGCAGCACGGCAGAGCUUGCUCUGUGGGUGGCGAGUGGCGGACGGGUGAGGAAUACAUGGGAAUCUGCCCAGUCGUGGGGGAUAACGUAUGGAAACGUACGCUAAUACCGCAUGCGCCCUUCGGGGGAAAGCCGGGGACCUUCGGGCCUGGCGCGAUUGGAUGGACGCCAGUGUCGGUAUUAGCUAGGUUGGGACGGGGUAACCGCCCAACGAAGGCGACGACUCCGUAGCGUGUCUGAGGAGAUGAUCGACGCCACACGUGGAACUGAGACGACGGUCCAGACCUCCGAGGGAGACAGACUAGGAAGGAAUAGU